RNAcentral lists this ribosomal RNA (571 nucleotides) under uncultured soil bacterium. RNAcentral describes it as "bacterial SSU rRNA". It matches the Rfam family "Bacterial small subunit ribosomal RNA", at positions 310 to 898 of the family's 1533-position model. The record is from RNAcentral.
ACAUUGGGACUGAGACACGGCCCAAACUCCUACGGGAGGCAGCAGUGGGGAAUAUUGGACAAUGGGCGAAAGCCUGAUCCAGCAAUGCCGCGUGUGUGAAGAAGGUCUUCGGAUUGUAAAGCCCUUUCGGCGGGGACGAUGAUGACGGUACCCGCAGAAGAAGCCCCGGCUAACUUCGUGCCAGCAGCCGCGGUAAUACGAAGGGGGCUAGCGUUGCUCGGAAUGACUGGGCGUAAAGGGCGCGUAGGCGGUUUGGACAGUUGGGCGUGAAAUUCCUGGGCUUAACCUGGGGGCUGCGUUCAAUACGUUUGGACUUGAGUUCGGAAGAGGGUCGUGGAAUUCCCAGUGUAGAGGUGAAAUUCGUAGAUAUUGGGAAGAACACCGGUGGCGAAGGCGGCGACCUGGUCCGAUACUGACGCUGAGGCGCGAAAGCGUGGGGAGCAAACAGGAUUAGAUACCCUGGUAGUCCACGCUGUAAACGAUGUGUGCUGGAUGUUGGGCGACCUAGUCGCUCAGUGUCGUAGCUAACGCGAUAAGCACACCGCCUGGGGAGUACGGCCGCAAGGUUGAA